UACGUAGGGUGCGAGCGUUAAUCGGAAUUACUGGGCGUAAAGGGUGUGCAGGCGGCUGAGUAAGACAGAUGUGAAAUCCCCGGGCUUAACCUGGGAACCGCAUAUGUGACUGCUUGGCUAGAGUGCGUCAGAGGGAGGUGGAAUUCCACGUGUAGCAGUGAAAUGCAUAGAUAUCGCGCAGAACUCCGAUUGCGAAGGCAGCAUGCCGGCUCCACACUGACGCUGAGGCACGAAAGCGUGGGUAUCGAACAGG
This 253-nucleotide ribosomal RNA is filed under the name uncultured Sutterella sp. RNAcentral's name for it is "partial 16S ribosomal RNA". It matches the Rfam family "Bacterial small subunit ribosomal RNA", at positions 524 to 776 of the family's 1533-position model. The record is from RNAcentral. Lineage: Bacteria; Pseudomonadati; Pseudomonadota; Betaproteobacteria; Burkholderiales; Sutterellaceae.